CAAGAAUUGAAAUGGCUUAUACUUGUGAUGAAACUGUAGUUGGUGAUCAAUCAGCAGCAACCAGAAGGCUGAGAAGUUGAGAACGUUCUGCUGUUGCAAAAUUUGGACCUAUAGGUGGCUGUUGCUUUCCAGUGGACGUUCCUGUUGCCAUGUUUAUGUCUUUGCAUGUGGCAUACUUGUGAGAUGAAGGAUGCGCAGAUAUAUCCUGGAGUCCUCUUGCAAAAUUAUCUGUUUCUUCAAUAUUUUGACC
This 250-nucleotide unclassified non-coding RNA is filed under the name Hevea brasiliensis (rubber tree). The record is from RNAcentral. Lineage: Eukaryota; Viridiplantae; Streptophyta; Magnoliopsida; Malpighiales; Euphorbiaceae.